RNAcentral lists this transfer RNA (74 nucleotides) under Deltaproteobacteria bacterium. RNAcentral's name for it is "tRNA-Pro". It matches the Rfam family "tRNA". From Rfam's summary of the family: Transfer RNA (tRNA) molecules are approximately 80 nucleotides in length. Their secondary structure includes four short double-helical elements and three loops (D, anti-codon, and T loops). Further hydrogen bonds mediate the characteristic L-shaped molecular structure. tRNAs have two regions of fundamental functional importance: the anti-codon, which is responsible for specific mRNA codon recognition, and the 3' end, to which the tRNAs corresponding amino acid is attached (by aminoacyl-tRNA synthetases). tRNAs cope with the degeneracy of the genetic code in two manners: having more than one tRNA (with a specific anti-codon) for a particular amino acid; and 'wobble' base-pairing, i.e. permitting non-standard base-pairing at the 3rd anti-codon position. Lineage: Bacteria; Pseudomonadati; Myxococcota; Myxococcia. RNAcentral also lists the same sequence under 1 other name. The record is from RNAcentral.
CGGGGAGUAGCGCAGCCUGGUAGCGCGCAUGGUUCGGGACCAUGAAGCCAGGGGUUCAAAUCCCCUCUCCCCGA